Molecule: RNA transcript, 3721 nt
Organism: Gopherus flavomarginatus (Mexican gopher tortoise)
Lineage: Eukaryota; Metazoa; Chordata; Testudines; Testudinidae
Gene name: cytosolic phospholipase A2 zeta-like
Exons: 21
Source: RefSeq, a predicted model, not a curated record
GCCCCCACUCCCCGCGAUUGCUUCUCCCUGUUGGAGCAGAGCUGUGUGUGUAACUCAGGACAGAGCUGCCGCAGUUCAGAGGAGCGAGGAGAAGCAGCCGGUCAGAUUCCAGAGACUUGUGUUUUCACUCCUGUUUGUUUAGCUCAGGGUUUGGGAAGGUCUCCCAUGUUCCGGGCUGUGCUGCUUAGCCGGGUGUCACCCCGCAUGUUCCCACUUCUGGCUGCCGUGCUGUUCCAGAGGAAAGAGAGGAAGGAUAGUGGGCUCUCUCACUGGCGGCGUGAGAAGCAUCCUUACUACAACCUCACAGUAAAAGUCCUCAGAGCCAGAAACAUCCAGGGUACAGAUUUGUUGUCCAAGGCAGACUGCUUUGUGAAAUUGCGUCUACCAACUGCAUCUUCAAUCACUUAUCAAACUCAGGUUGUUGACAACUCCAGUAAUCCAGAGUGGAAUGAAACCUUCCAGUACAGAAUCCACAGUGCUGUCAAGAACGUUCUGGAGUUGUCUCUCUUCGAUGAAGAUGUCCUGAUAAAUGAUGAACUUACUUCUAUUGUCUUUGAUGUGGGGGGUAUAAAGCCAGGCCAACCUUUAAAGCGCACUUUCAAGUUAAAUCCAGAGGCUCAGGAGGAGUUGGAUGUAGAGUUCUACUUAGAAAAAUGCUCAGAUGCCCCUACUGAGAUCCUCACCAAUGGUGUCCUUGUGGCUCAUCCCUGCCUGUGUCUCCAAGGUGUAAUCAACAAAGAUGAGAAGUCAAAGCAGAGUGAAAAGGGGAGCUGUCAGAUCAAGCUAUCAAUGCUGGGGGCCUAUGAGAAACAGUUGUGCGUUCCUUGCAGAGUGGACAAUGAUCAAGAUUUUGGGACGCCAUUUGUCUUUCAUGUAGACAAAGAAAUGUGUCCAGACCUGGAGGUGGAACUGGAGCAAACGAUAACUGUCUUACAGGAUGAAAUAAGCUCUGAUCUGGAAAAGCACACUACACUUCUGGGACAGGGAACUGUACCAGUUAAAUCACUUCCUGUUGGACAGAAAGUAGUCAUGGCUGUUCCUUUAGGAGAGGGACAAAGUUUGGAUCUGAGUGUGAAGGCUGAAAAGAGUACUUGGGAUCUUGAUGUACGCCUUGGUUUUGGCCUCUGUGAAGAAGAGAGAGAAUUUUUGGACAAGAGGAAGAAAAUAGUUUCUCAGGCACUAAUGAAGACACUUAAGUUAAGAGAAGCCCCUGGGAAAGAUGAGGUCCCAGUGGUAGCAGUUUUGGGAUCAGGUGGUGGGACUAGAGCACUGACAUCAUUCUAUGGCAGCCUGUCAGGGCUUCAGCAGCUCGGCCUUUUGGACAGUACAAUGUAUCUGUGUGGAAUUUCAGGUUCUACUUGGUGUUUGUCUGCACUGUAUCAAGACACAGACUGGUCCUGUAAGGACCUCCAAGGUGCAAUCAGCAAUGCCAGGGAUAAUGUAUCUAGUAGCAAAGCAGGGGCAUUUUCGUCAGAACGAUUGAAAUAUUACUUCCAGGAGCUGAACUCAAUGGAGAAUGGUGGACGGAAAGUCUCUUUCACAGACUUGUGGGGCCUUAUUAUAGAGUAUUUUCUAUAUCAGAAGGAAGACUUGUCAAAGCUGUCUGACCAACAGGAAGCAGUGAAGAGGGCACAGAACCCCUAUCCCAUCUAUGCAGCAAUCAAUGUGAGGCCCAAUAUUAGCGAUGAUGACUUUGCAGAAUGGUGUGAGUUCACUCCCUAUGAGGUUGGAUUCCGGAAGUAUGGUGCCUUUGUCCGAGCAGAAGACUUUGACAGUGAGUUCUUCAUGGGCCGGCUGGUCCGGAAACGUCCAGAGCCCAGGAUCUGCUAUCUGCAGGGAAUGUGGGGCAGUGCCUUUGCCGCAAGUCUGGAUGAUGUCUUUCUGAAGAUGGUUGGUUCAGGACUGAGCUUUCUAGAUUCUUUGAAAGAUGUAAUCAGAGUCAUAGAUGAUUGCCAAAGAUUCCAUUUUCGGGAAGCCACUCGGUUAAAGACUCGUCUGGUUAUACCAGGGGGACCCUUAUUACAAAUUUUCCAGGAUUUCUUCAAGUCCCGUGUCACCUCUGGGGAAACCUUCAACUUCAUGCAAGGCUUGUACCUUCACAGGAAUUAUGUCAACAACAGGCAUUUUGUAGCCUGGAAAGGUACACACCUUGAUGCUUUUCCCAACCAGCUGACUCCCAUGGAAGACAGCCUGUACCUGGUGGAUGGUGGUUUUUCGAUCAACUCUCCCUUUCCCGUGGUGCUCCAGCCAGAAAGAGAUGUAGAUGUCAUCCUGUCAUUUAACUACUCUUGGGAUGCUCCGUUUGAGGUUUUACAGUUGACUCAGAAAUACUGUGAAGAACAGGAAAUCCCCUUUCCACAAAUCAUCUUGAGUGAGGAAGAUGAGAAGAAGCCAAAAGAAUGUUACAUGUUUGUGGAUGAUGAAAACCCUAAAGCUCCCAUAGUGCUUCACUUCCCACUGGUGAAUGAUACAUUCCGGAAAUACAAAGCACCGGGAAUAGAACGUGAGUCAGAAGAUGAGAAAUCCUUUGGUGAUUUUGUCAUUGAGGGAAAAGACUCUCCUUACCGCACGCUAAACUUCACCUUUGAGCCCUAUGACUUUGACAGGCUGGUGGAAGUGAACUGCUACAAUGUUCUGAACAACAAGGACAUACUCCUAAAGGCCCUAAAUUUGGCUCUGAGCAGGAGGAAGCUGAAGAAGGGCAAUGGGCAAUGAGAACCUUCUUGGCAUAGGACAUGGAUGGACUGCAGUGCACCAAAGGAAUAUGGUUCAAGUAGUACUCUUGAGGGAAUUCUGUGCCACUGUGCAUGCAUAAUUAAUAAUCCAUGCAUAUUUUAAAUUUUUUAUGCAGAAAAAAGCUUUUUCUGGAAAGUUUCUGCAGUUGUGCCUUUUCCCCAUCAGAGAGCACUGUGGCGAUAGAACAGAGCAGCAGCUCCUGGCCAGCUAGGGAAGAGAGAGCACCUGCAGGGCCUUCUUCACAGCACCUGUUGGGCCAGUCUAGGAGACAGGGCUAUGGGGAGAAAGACAAUUUGGGCUGCUGGGGCUCAGACAGGGGCUCAUAAUGGCUAGUGGAGGAGGACAGAGUGGGGCACGGGGUGAAUGGGAGUGCAGGGUCACGGGGGGAGGCAGGUGCAGGGCUACAUGGGGAAAGGGGGUGGGGAUGCAGGGCUACAUAGUGACAGGGAGGUGGCUGAGUUGGGGGCUCAGAGACAUUUGGGAGGCGGUGCAGGGCCACAUGGUGAUGUAGGGGAGUGGGCAUCUGAGUGGGGGUGGAGAAACACACGUAGAUAGGUUGUGCUAGGACACAUGGGGACAGGGGCAGAUGUGCCUGAGAAUACAGGUCAGCCAGGGUCUGCGUGGGGGAAGCUCCCUAACAAUCUCUUCCUGUCCUCCCCAAAAAACCUAUUCCAUACUUUUUUAACCCCUACCCAACAACCCACCAAGUUUACACUCAGGUUCCUUCUAGCAAUUAACUUCCCUCUCCCUCACCUUCUCCGUUAGCCCCAACCCCAAGCCUUUGCUCUGCUUCUGAGGGGUGCAGGAAAAACAGUUAUAUAUUGUAGUUCAAAUGAAUUAUUACUCAGAGUUAUGUAUUAAUAUCCCUAGUAAGGAAUCUAUUUCUCAAAAUAACAUUUUCUGAAUCUCUUUUGUUUGUUGUCUGUAUUGUUACAGACAUACUUGCUGACAGGUAUUUCGAAAUAAAUGACCAAAAAUAAUUGAA